GACGAACGCUGGCGGCGUGCUUAACACAUGCAAGUCGAACGGAAAGGCCCUGCUUUUGUGGGGUGCUCGAGUGGCGAACGGGUGAGUAACACGUGAGUAACCUGCCCUUGACUUUGGGAUAACUUCAGGAAACUGGGGCUAAUACCGGAUCGGAGCUCCUGCUGCAUGGUGGGGGUUGGAAAGUUUCGGCGGUUGGGGAUGGACUCGCGGCUUAUCAGCUUGUUGGUGGGGUAGUGGCUUACCAAGGCUUUGACGGGUAGCCGGCCUGAGAGGGUGACCGGCCACAUUGGGACUGAGAUACGGCGCAGACUCCUACGGGAGGCAGCAGUGGGGAAUAUUGCACAAUGGGCGGAAGCCUGAUGCAGCAACGCCGCGUGCGGGAUGACGGCCUUCGGGUUGUAAACCGCUUUCGCCUGUGACGAAGCGUGAGUGACGGUAAUGGGUAAAGAAGCACCGGCUAACUACGUG
RNAcentral lists this ribosomal RNA (468 nucleotides) under uncultured bacterium. RNAcentral's name for it is "partial 16S ribosomal RNA". It matches the Rfam family "Bacterial small subunit ribosomal RNA", at positions 28 to 507 of the family's 1533-position model. The record is from RNAcentral.